GUCUGCAACCCGACUCCGUGAAGCUGGAUUCGCUAGUAAUCGCGCAUCAGCCAUGGCGCGGUGAAUACGUUCCUGGGCCUUGUACACACCGCCCGUCAAGCCAUGGGAGCCGGGGGUGCUUGAAGUGCGUCGCCGCAAGGCGCGCCCUAGAGCAAAACCGGUGACUGGGGCUAAGUCGUAACAAGGUAAC
RNAcentral lists this ribosomal RNA (190 nucleotides) under uncultured bacterium. RNAcentral's name for it is "partial 16S ribosomal RNA". It matches the Rfam family "Bacterial small subunit ribosomal RNA", at positions 1303 to 1500 of the family's 1533-position model. The record is from RNAcentral.